AGUAGCUCGUGGGAUCGGUCGGCGGAAUGACGGGAGGUGCGAGGAUGAAUCGGAAUUGCAGGGCGUAAAGCUAACGCAGGCGGGGUGGUAAGUAGUAGGUGAAAUCCCCGGGCGCGACCUGGGAACGUGAUUCGAAGCUGGCAGGCUAGAGUGUUGGAGAGGGGGGUAGAAUUCCAGGUGUAGCGGUGAAAUGCGUAGAGAUCUGGAGGAAUACCGGUGGCGAAGGCGGCCCCCUGGACAAAGACUGACGCUCAGGUGCGAAAGCGUGGGGAGCAAACAGGAUUAGAUACCCCAGUCGUU
RNAcentral lists this ribosomal RNA (300 nucleotides) under uncultured Roseomonas sp. Its description in RNAcentral is "bacterial SSU rRNA". It matches the Rfam family "Bacterial small subunit ribosomal RNA", at positions 497 to 795 of the family's 1533-position model. The record is from RNAcentral. Lineage: Bacteria; Pseudomonadati; Pseudomonadota; Alphaproteobacteria; Acetobacterales; Roseomonadaceae.